GCAGUAGCCGCGGUAAUACGAGGGGUGCAAGCGUUAUUCGGAUUGAUUGGGUGUAAAGGGUGUGCAGCCGGCUUAUUAAGUCACUUGUUAAAUUCUUCGGCCUAACUGAAGGUCUGCAAGUGAUACUGAUGAGCUAGAGGGUGGAAGAGAGAAGUGGAAUUCUCGGAGUAGCGGUAAAAUGCGUAGAUCUCGAGAGGAACACCAAUGGCGAAGGCAGCUUCUUGGUCCAUUCCUGACGUUCAUACACGAAAGCGUGGGGAGCAAACAGGAUUAGAUACCCCCGUAGUCCCUGUCUCUUAUAC
RNAcentral lists this ribosomal RNA (302 nucleotides) under uncultured bacterium. RNAcentral's name for it is "partial 16S ribosomal RNA". It matches the Rfam family "Bacterial small subunit ribosomal RNA", at positions 508 to 807 of the family's 1533-position model. The record is from RNAcentral.